UGGUGUGUGUCUGUGUCUUCUGCCUAGA
RNAcentral lists this non-coding RNA (28 nucleotides) under Homo sapiens (human). The record is from RNAcentral. Lineage: Eukaryota; Metazoa; Chordata; Mammalia; Primates; Hominidae.